RNAcentral lists this transfer RNA (85 nucleotides) under Bacteroidota bacterium. RNAcentral's name for it is "Bacteroidetes bacterium (permafrost metagenome) tRNA-Ser". It matches the Rfam family "tRNA". Rfam says of the family: Transfer RNA (tRNA) molecules are approximately 80 nucleotides in length. Their secondary structure includes four short double-helical elements and three loops (D, anti-codon, and T loops). Further hydrogen bonds mediate the characteristic L-shaped molecular structure. tRNAs have two regions of fundamental functional importance: the anti-codon, which is responsible for specific mRNA codon recognition, and the 3' end, to which the tRNAs corresponding amino acid is attached (by aminoacyl-tRNA synthetases). tRNAs cope with the degeneracy of the genetic code in two manners: having more than one tRNA (with a specific anti-codon) for a particular amino acid; and 'wobble' base-pairing, i.e. permitting non-standard base-pairing at the 3rd anti-codon position. Lineage: Bacteria; Pseudomonadati; Bacteroidota. The record is from RNAcentral.
GGAAGGCUACACUAACGGUAAGUGACUAGUUUGCUAAACUAGCGUCCGAAAGGGCUUCGCGGUUCAAGUCCGCGGCCUUCCGCCA